GUGAGGAAUAUUGCGCAAUGGGGGAAACCCUGACGCAGCAACGCCGCGUGGGUGAAGAAGGCUUUCGGGUUGUAAAGCCCUGUCAGGCGGGAAGAAACCUCUGUAGUCGAAUAGGCUGCAGAACUGACGGUACCGCCAAAGGAAGCACCGGCUAACUCCGUGCCAGCAGCCGCGGUAAGACGGAGGGUGCAAGCGUUGUUCGGAAUCACUGGGCGUAAAGCGCGUGUAGGCGGUCUGAUAAGUCGAGUGUGAAAGCCCGAGGCUCAACCUCGGAAGUGCAUUCGAAACUGUCAGGCUUGAGUACGGGAGAGGGAAGUGGAAUUCCUGGUGUAGAGGUGAAAUUCGUAGAUAUCAGGAGGAACACCGGUGGCGAAGGCGGCUUCCUGGACCGAUACUGACGCUGAGACGCGAAAGCGUGGGGAGCAAACAGGAUUAGAAACCCGGGUAGUCC
Molecule: ribosomal RNA, 451 nt
Filed under: uncultured bacterium
Lineage: Bacteria
Description: bacterial SSU rRNA
Rfam family: Bacterial small subunit ribosomal RNA
Source: RNAcentral